ACGCGAGCUGGGUUCAGAACGUCGUGAGACAGUUCGGUCCCUAUCCGUCGCAGGCGUAGGAAAUUUGAGAAGACCUGUCCUUAGUACGAGAGGACCGGGAUGGACGUACCUCUGGUGUACCAGUUGUCCUGCCAAGGGCAUGGCUGGGUAGCUAUGUAUGGAAUGGAUAAGCGCUGAAAGCAUCUAAGCGCGAAGCCAACUUCAAGAUAAGAUUUCCCACCGCAAGGGUAAGACCCCAGAAAGACUAUCUGGUUGAUAGGUCGAAGGUGUAAGUGCAGCAAUGUAUUUAGCUUAUCGAUACUAAUAGGUCGAGGACUUGACCAAUAUUUAUU
This 332-nucleotide ribosomal RNA is filed under the name Clostridioides difficile. RNAcentral describes it as "bacterial LSU rRNA". It matches the Rfam family "Bacterial large subunit ribosomal RNA", at positions 2598 to 2925 of the family's 2925-position model. Lineage: Bacteria; Bacillati; Bacillota; Clostridia; Peptostreptococcales; Peptostreptococcaceae. The record is from RNAcentral.